Molecule: ribosomal RNA, 509 nt
Filed under: uncultured bacterium
Lineage: Bacteria
Description: bacterial SSU rRNA
Rfam family: Bacterial small subunit ribosomal RNA
Source: RNAcentral
AGUGAACGCUGGCGGCAUGCCUUACACAUGCAAGUCGAACGGCAGCGCGGGGCAACCUGGCGGCGAGUGGCGAACGGGUGAGUAAUAUAUCGGAACAUACCCUAGAGUGGGGGAUAACGUAGCGAAAGUUACGCUAAUACCGCAUACGCACUAAGGUGGAAAGUGGGGGAUUCGCAAGAACCUCAUGCUCAUGGAGUGGCCGAUAUCUGAUUAGCUAGUUGGUGAGGUAAAGGCUCACCAAGGCAACGAUCAGUAGCUGGUUUGAGAGAACGACCAGCCACACUGGAACUGAGACACGGUCCAGACUCCUACGGAGGCAGCAGUGGGGAAUUUUGGACAAUGGGGGCAACCCUGAUCCAGCAAUGCCGCGUGAGUGAAGAAGGCCUUCGGGUUGUAAGACUCUUUUGUCUAGGGAAGAAACGGUAGAGAGGCUAAUAAUCUCUUGCUAAUGACGGUACCUGAAGAAUAAGACACCGGCUAACUACGUGCCAGCAGCCGGGGUAACUAGG